CGUAGGUGCAAGCGUUAAUCGGAAUUACUGGGCGUAAAGCGAGCGCAGGCGGUUAUUAAGUCAGGUGUGAAAGCCCCGAGCUCAACUUGGACGUGCAUUUGAAACUGGAUAACUAGAGUGUGUCAGAGGGGGUAGGAAUUCCACGUGUAGCAGUGAAAUGCGUAGAGAUGUGGAGGAAUACCGAUGGCGAAGGCAGCCCCCUGGGAUAACACUGACGCUCAUGCUCGAAAGCGUGGUAGCAAACAGGAUU
This 250-nucleotide ribosomal RNA is filed under the name uncultured bacterium. Its description in RNAcentral is "partial 16S ribosomal RNA". It matches the Rfam family "Bacterial small subunit ribosomal RNA", at positions 526 to 779 of the family's 1533-position model. The record is from RNAcentral.